Non-coding RNA from Lonchura striata (white-rumped munia), 740 nucleotides. NCBI's taxonomy places the organism in Eukaryota, Metazoa, Chordata, Aves, Passeriformes, Estrildidae. The record is from RefSeq and is a predicted model, not a curated record.
GGUAAGAAGAAGAUAAAAAAGAUCCUACUAGCAGAAGAUAUAAUUUUGGUUGAAUCCCGUAACAAACUGUAGGAAAACAAUACUAACAGGGAUACAACUGACAGUAGGAGGGAUAAGCACACAACACCAGAAAUGCUUGAAUUAAGAAGAAUGGAACAUCGUUAGAUAAUAAUGGGCAAAGAAUCUGAAAGACUGUGGACUCUAUUUCUAACUCAGCUUCCCGUGACCACUGAAGAACAGAAGAAUUUUCAAUGAGGAAUUAAUGUUAUGAAGAGGUUUAAUAUCAUAUAGCUCAUGGCACACGAAAGAUCCUUAGCUCUUAGCUCAUGAUAAUCCGGAUAGAAUUUAACCUUCAAAACUUAAAAGUUUCAUCUUGCCGACUGCAGAAGCACUGAGAAACCGUCACUGUUGUUAAAUUCCAUUGGAAUUGAGGCUGACCAGCGCCCAUCAGGACUUCUCAAAAUUGAUCAUAUUUUCAUGAAGCAAGAUUACAAGGAAACCAACUGUUUUUCUACCCUGGGAAGUACAUGUGUUGAAAGGAAAAUUUAGUUCCACAAGUACCUGGAGAGCCUUUUACCAGGAGUCAGACCCACAGGUUUUCAAACAGAGAAAAAUAAAUUUUAAAAACAUCAUGCCCAUAAGUUAAAAAACAUUUUGCCUCUGUUAAGCAGAGUUAAUGAGAAUACCCAAAUCCAAAUGCAAAAACCAAAAUAAAAAUUUUGUGUUUGGGGGGUUCAUAA